RNAcentral lists this ribosomal RNA (198 nucleotides) under uncultured bacterium. Its description in RNAcentral is "partial 16S ribosomal RNA". It matches the Rfam family "Bacterial small subunit ribosomal RNA", at positions 328 to 539 of the family's 1533-position model. The record is from RNAcentral.
ACGCUCGACACCUACGGGAGGCNGCAGUGGGGAAUAUUGCACAAUGGGGGAAACCCUGAUGCAGCGACGCCGCGUGAGUGAAGAAGUAUUUCGGUAUGUAAAGCUCUAUCAGCAGGGAAGAAAAUGACGGUACCUGAGUAAGAAGCCCCGGCUAACUACGUGCCAACAGCCGCGGUAAUCUGAGCGGGCUGGCAAGGC